Molecule: microRNA precursor, 61 nt
Filed under: Pristionchus pacificus
Lineage: Eukaryota; Metazoa; Nematoda; Chromadorea; Rhabditida; Neodiplogasteridae
Description: microRNA ppc-mir-8364g precursor
Rfam family: mir-8364 microRNA precursor family
Source: miRBase by way of RNAcentral
UCUUCAUUUCCCACACUCUCUCACCGGUCAGAGAGGCGAGAGAGUGUGGAAAAGGAAGAGA